UACGUAGGGUGCGAGCGUUGUCCGGAAUUAUUGGGCGUAAAGAGCUUGUAGGCGGUUUGUCGCGUCUGCUGUGAAAAUCCGAGGCUCAACCUCGGACUUGCAGUGGGUACGGGCAGACUAGAGUGUGGUAGGGGAGACUGGAAUUCCUGGUGUAGCGGUGGAAUGCGCAGAUAUCAGGAGGAACACCAAUAGCGAAGGCAGCUCGCUGGGACGUUACUGACACUGAGGCGCGAAAGCGUGGGGAGCGAACAGG
RNAcentral lists this ribosomal RNA (253 nucleotides) under uncultured bacterium. RNAcentral's name for it is "partial 16S ribosomal RNA". It matches the Rfam family "Bacterial small subunit ribosomal RNA", at positions 524 to 776 of the family's 1533-position model. The record is from RNAcentral.